AAGAAAUGCUGAUGCAGUGUCAUGCUGGUGUGUGUCCUCCUUACAGAAUGCCUGAACAGUUCCAUUGACUCAAAGUGAAGAUCAAAAGAACCAAAUGACAGCAAUAGCUAAGUGUAAUCAUCAGUAACCCUGUGUUCUAUCCACGGCUUAAACUCCCUCCUAAGUUUCUGAAGAUCCCCUUGGGCCACUUCAUGGAUUUGAUUUAAAUCUAAAGUCCUAGGGGUUUCAAGGAGCACAGCUUGGAAUCUACUGUCCUGGGACAUUCAUUGUAUUAGUCCGUUUUCAUGCUGCUGAUAAAGACAUACCCAAGACUGGGCAAUUUACAAAAGAAAGAGAUUUAAUUGGACUUACA
RNAcentral lists this long non-coding RNA (352 nucleotides) under Pongo abelii (Sumatran orangutan). Its description in RNAcentral is "lincRNA". The record is from RNAcentral. Lineage: Eukaryota; Metazoa; Chordata; Mammalia; Primates; Hominidae.